ACCCGCUGAACUUAAGCAUAUCACUAGGGGGAGGAAAAGAAACCAACAGGGAUUCCCGGAGUAACUGCGAGUGAAAGGGGAAAAGCGCAAUCUGAAUCCUUCGGGCUUUGCUCCUGGGAGAUGUGGAUUUGGGUAUUCCAACCAGCCGGAGCCUCUGUAAUCCCUUGGAAUUAGGGUGCCCUAGAGGGUGAUAGUCCCGUAACAGAGGCAUUGAUGGCUGCUAGGGGUAUUCUAGCGAGUAGGGCUCUUUGAGAGUAUAGCCCGAAUAUGGGAGGUAAGUACCUUCUAACGCUAAAUAUUGCUGCAAGACCGAUAGUGAACAAGUACCGUGAGGGAAAGUUGAGAAGCACUCUGAAAAGAGAGUUACAAGCACCUGAAACCGAUGCAUGGGAAGGAGUAGCUAUACGCUAGGCAUGUGAGCCUCUACGCUUGCGUCUGGUGGUAUCAUGGGCUCUCUGAGUGGGUAACUCCUACCAGACCUUAGGAUACUAUUGGAUUCAGGCCUCUGGGGGCCAUGGCGGCCAACCAGUUCGGAAAGAAACCAU
Molecule: ribosomal RNA, 545 nt
Filed under: uncultured fungus
Lineage: Eukaryota; Fungi
Description: eukaryotic LSU rRNA
Rfam family: Eukaryotic large subunit ribosomal RNA
Source: RNAcentral